Molecule: ribosomal RNA, 910 nt
Filed under: uncultured bacterium
Lineage: Bacteria
Description: bacterial SSU rRNA
Rfam family: Bacterial small subunit ribosomal RNA
Source: RNAcentral
ACGCUGGCUACAGGCUUAACACAUGCAAGUCGAGGGGAAACGGCGUUGAGUGCUCGCACUCUUCGGACGUCGACCGGCGCACGGGUGAGUAACGCGUAUCCAACCUUCCCGUCACUGCAGGAUAACCUGCCGAAAGGCAGACUAAUACCGCAUGGCCUUCACUGACGGCAUCAGAGGUGAAGUAAAGCUUUUUAGCGGUGACGGACGGGGAUGCGUCUGAUUAGCUGGUUGGCGGGGCGACGGCCCACCAAGGCAACGAUCAGUAGGGGUUCUGAGAGGAAGGUCCCCCACAUUGGAACUGAGACACGGUCCAAACUCCUACGGGAGGCAGCAGUGAGGAAUAUUGGUCAAUGGGCGGAAGCCUGAACCAGCCAAGUAGCGUGCAGGAUGACGGCCCUACGGGUUGUAAACUGCUUUUAUGCGGGGAUAAAGUGAGGGACGCGUCCCUUUUUGCAGGUACCGCAUGAAUAAGGACCGGCUAAUUCCGUGCCAGCAGCCGCGGUAAUACGGAAGGUCCGGGCGUUAUCCGGAUUUAUUGGGUUUAAAGGGAGCGUAGGCCGGGGAUUAAGUGUGUUGUGAAAUGUAGGCGCUCAACGUCUGAUGUGCAGCGCAUACUGGUUCCCUUGAGUACGCGCAACGCCGGCGGAAUUCGUCGUGUAGCGGUGAAAUGCUUAGAUAUGACGAAGAACCCCGAUUGCGAAGGCAGCCGGCGGGAGCGCAACUGACGCUGAAGCUCGAAGGUGCGGGUAUCGAACAGGAUUAGAUACCCUGGUAGUCCGCACGGUAAACGAUGGAUGCCCGCUCUCGGCGCCUGGCGCCGGGGGCCAAGCGAAAGCGUUAAGCAUCCCACCUGGGGAGUACGCCGGCAACGGUGAAACUCAAAGGAAUUGACGGGGGCCCGCACAAGCGG